Molecule: ribosomal RNA, 253 nt
Filed under: uncultured bacterium
Lineage: Bacteria
Description: partial 16S ribosomal RNA
Rfam family: Bacterial small subunit ribosomal RNA
Source: RNAcentral
UACGUAGGGUGCUAGCGUUGUUCGGAAUCAUUGGGCGUAAAGCGCGUGUAGGCGGUUUGUUAAGUCGGAUGUGAAAUCCCUGGGCUCAACCGAGGAAGGGCAUUCGAAACUAACUGGCUGGAAGAUGGUAGAGGAAGGUGGAAUUCCUAGUGUAGAGGUGAAAUUCGUAGAUAUUAGGAGGAAUACCGGUGGCGAAGGCGGCCUUCUGGACCAUUCUUGACGCUGAGACGCGAAAGCGUGGGUAGCAAACAGG